RNA transcript from Brassica napus (rape), 2015 nucleotides. RefSeq lists it as uncharacterized. NCBI's taxonomy places the organism in Eukaryota, Viridiplantae, Streptophyta, Magnoliopsida, Brassicales, Brassicaceae. The transcript has 2 exons. The record is from RefSeq and is a predicted model, not a curated record.
UCCUAUACUAAAAGCACGAUAUAGAGUGAUUUUACAGUGUCCACGUCGACAAAUUUAUUCAGCCAAUCAAAACAUUUCAAUAAUACACGUAUGAUCUCCUAAACUGUUGCUUUUGUAUGGGCUUCAAUGUGGUUUUACUGGGCUUCGUCGGUUUCAAUUUACCGAUACAAUUAGAAAAAAAAAACCCGAGACGGAUAACACGAUGCUCUCUCCUCUAUCGCUUCGUCUUCACCGUUUCCUCUCCAUCCUUUCAGUUUUCUCGAUCCUCAUAUUAUAAAUAUUCGGCUUUAAGGAAUUCGGAGAAGGAAAGAAGGAGACCAUAUUGACAGACAUGCAUUUGAAGAUCUUCACAACCACAUCAAGAGCUCGGCGGUGAUCGUGACGGAGCCCGAUUUCAACGCCAAGAUCUGCCACUUCUCUGCCACUUCGGCACCGUGCAGCUCUGCGGGGAAACAGACGGAUCGAGAGAUUCCAAAGCCGUUAGAUUCGAAGGAGUGAAAGGAUACAUGUCGCCGGAUUUUCAGGCUUCGGGGGUUGCGACUCAGGAAUCAGACGUGUUCGCCUUCGGAGUCAUGAUGCUUGAGCUUCUCUCCGGCGAGGAGCCGUUGAAGUAUACGUAUGAGAAAACUGUCGGGGAUUUUGAACGGACUUUGGUGAUUGAAACCGCGAAAGCGGUGGUUGACGGCGGAGAUGGUGGUGACAUAGGGGGCGGUUGAGGAGGUGGAUGGAUCGGAGGUUGGGGGAUUCGUUUCCGGUGACGGUGGUGGAGAAGUUAAUGCGGUUGGCGUUGGAGUGCGUCGAGGAUGAGGCGGUGAACCGGCUGGAGAUGGGAAGAGUCGCCGGAAAGAUAUCGCAAUUGUAUUUGGAAUCGGAGAAAUGGUUGGCGAAUAUGAAGACUUCCUUUCCAGGUUUCAGAAGUCUCAUUUCUUUGUUAGGAUCGCAGAGUCUGGUGAGCCGCUUUGGUCAAAGAAACCUCUGUGUUGGGAGAUACAAAGCUAGAGGAAAAGCGGGAAAAAGAGACCUUGUGUUAGUGCUUUUUUAGAUAGAGGAGAGUUUGAUCUUAAUGUUGCUGGAGGUGCAGCAAGAAGUAAGGCAAAAUGUUGUGCCUUACCCAAUGGAGACACAUGAUGGUAAUUCUUAUAAGUUGUUGUUUUAACCUACUGAUUCUCACACAAUGUCUUUAUUUGGAAGGGUGAAGGUCUCUUUACAAGUUUAUAUCGCUGACUGUCCCAAAGAACCAAUCAUUGAGAUACUGCAGUUUGAGAAGCAUCAAGACAUGGACCAACUUUCUGAUCAUGAACACAAUGAUCCAUAUGGGAACCUUUUGAAGUGGUUGAUACCGUUGGAUAACACUAUUUCUCAGCAACCCCGUUACCUCCUAUAAGCUCUACCCCAGAUAUCAGCAGCAGUGCACACAAGCCAUUACUCUCUUCUGGCUCAGGAUCUCAGCUCUUCUCAUUCGUCCAUUUUAGAAGCUACUCCAUGUUAGCUCUGCCGGCGCCGUGUUUAUAGUUUCUGUACGUAUGUGUUUGUGGAAGCAGUGCACACAAGCCAUUACUCUCUUCUGGCUCAGGAUCUCAGCUCUUCUCAUUCGUCCAUUUUAGAAGCUACUCCAUGUUAGCUCUGCCGGCGCCGAACACUGCACCAGUUACUGGACCCGUAAAAACUGAAAGCUCCAAACCAUCAUUUGACCUUGAAGACUGGAACUGUUACUCAGGUCAAACAUUAUGGAACGGUCACAAGUCUGGGACUGAAGAGCUCUUAUCUUUCCGGGGUGUCCCUUUGGAGCGGGAUAAAUUCUCUGUUCGUUGUGGACGUGAAGGCAUAUGCAUUCCUGGUAAGAAGAUGGAGGAAGAAACUCGAAAUCAUUCAACCUAUUGAUAUCAAUUCUUUUACAGCUGAUUGUAAUACAGAUAAACAUUUAAUAUAAAUAGUUUUAAAUUUUUAUAAUAAAUUCUAAUGUAUAUAUGUAACAUGGUCAUAUUUAAUAUAAUAUGGGUAUAUUUUGUUAACUC